RNAcentral lists this ribosomal RNA (460 nucleotides) under uncultured bacterium. RNAcentral describes it as "partial 16S ribosomal RNA". It matches the Rfam family "Bacterial small subunit ribosomal RNA", at positions 338 to 795 of the family's 1533-position model. The record is from RNAcentral.
CCUACGGGUGGCAGCAGUGAGGAAUAUUGGUCAAUGGACGAGAGUCUGAACCAGCCAAGUAGCGUGAAGGAUGACUGCCCUAUGGGUUGUAAACUUCUUUUAUAUGGGAAUAAAAUGUUCCACGUGUGGGCUUUUGUAUGUACCAUAUGAAUAAGGAUCGGCUAACUCCGUCCCAGCACCCGCGGUAAUCCGGAGGAUCCGAGCUUUAUCCGGAUUUAUUGGGUUUAAAGGGAGCGUAGGUGGAUUUUUAAGUCAGUUGUGAAAGUCUGCGGCGCAACCGUAAAAUUGCAGUUGAAACUGGCAGUCUUGAGUGCAGUAGAGGUAGGCGGAAGGCGUGGUGUAGCGGUGAAAUGCUUAGAUAUCACGAAGAACUCCGAUUGCGAAGGCAGCUCACUGGACUGCAACUGACACUGAGGCUCGAAAGUGUGGGUAUCAAACAGGAUUAGAUACCCCGGUAGUC